UGGGGAAUCUUAGACAAUGGGGGAAACCCUGAUCUAGCCAUGCCGCGUGAGUGACGAAGGCCUUAGGGUCGUAAAGCUCUUUCGCCGGGGAAGAUAAUGACGGUACCCGGUAAAGAAGUCCCGGCUAACUCCGUGCCAGCAGCCGCGGUAAUACGGAGGGGACUAGCGUUGUUCGGAAUUACUGGGCGUAAAGCGCACGUAGGCGGACUAAUAAGUCAGGGGUGAAAUCCCGGGGCUCAACCCCGGAACUGCCUUUGAUACUGUUAGUCUUGAGUCCGUGAGAGGUGAGUGGAACUCCGAGUGUAGAGGUGAAAUUCGUAGAUAUUCGGAAGAACACCAGUGGCGAAGGCGGCUCACUGGCACGGUACUGACGCUGAGGUGCGAAAGCGUGGGGAGCAAACAGGAUUAGAUACCCCCGUAGUCC
This 424-nucleotide ribosomal RNA is filed under the name uncultured prokaryote. RNAcentral describes it as "bacterial SSU rRNA". It matches the Rfam family "Bacterial small subunit ribosomal RNA", at positions 355 to 796 of the family's 1533-position model. The record is from RNAcentral.